This 492-nucleotide ribosomal RNA is filed under the name uncultured bacterium. RNAcentral's name for it is "partial 16S ribosomal RNA". It matches the Rfam family "Bacterial small subunit ribosomal RNA", at positions 29 to 507 of the family's 1533-position model. The record is from RNAcentral.
AGUGAACGCUGGCGGUAGGCCUAACACAUGCAAGUCGAACGGCAGCACAGUAAGAGCUUGCUCUUACGGGUGGCGAGUGGCGGACGGGUGAGGAAUACAUCGGAGUCUACUUUUUCGUGGGGGAUAACGUAGGGAAACUUACGCUAAUACCGCAUACGACCUACGGGUGAAAGCAGGGGAUCUUCGGACCUUGCGCGAUUGAAUGAGCCGAUGUCGGAUUAGCUAGUUGGCGGGGUAAAGGCCCACCAAGGCGACGAUCCGUAGCUGGUCUGAGAGGAUGAUCAGCCACACUGGAACUGAGACACGGUCCAGACUCCUACGGGAGGCAGCAGUGGGGAAUAUUGGACAAUGGGCGCAAGCCUGAUCCAGCCAUAACGCGUGGGUGAAGAAGGCCUUCGGGUUGUAAAGCCCUUUUGUUGGGAAAGAAAAGCAGCAGGUUAAUACCCCGCUGUUCUGACGGUACCCAAAGAAUAAGCACCGGCUAACUUCGUG